UGUUGACGUUAUAGUUGCGCAGGAACUUUGUUGACUCUAGAGAACCUUGGGCAAAUCGCACAUCCCCACGGCGGCGACUUUGCAUGCGGAUGGCAUCCAUAUCAACUUUCGAUGCCAGUUUCUGCACCUACCAUGGUUACCACGGUAACUGGGAAUCAGGGUUCCAUUCCGUACAGGGACCCUGAGAAACGGCUACCACAUGCAAAGAAGGCAGCAAGCGCCCAAAUGACCUACUCCCGACGCGGGAAGGUAGUGACGACA
This is a non-coding RNA of Pelobates cultripes (western spadefoot toad), 261 nucleotides long. The record is from the annotation of a GenBank genome assembly. NCBI's taxonomy places the organism in Eukaryota, Metazoa, Chordata, Amphibia, Anura, Pelobatidae.